RNAcentral lists this ribosomal RNA (465 nucleotides) under uncultured bacterium. RNAcentral describes it as "partial 16S ribosomal RNA". It matches the Rfam family "Bacterial small subunit ribosomal RNA", at positions 28 to 507 of the family's 1533-position model. The record is from RNAcentral.
GACGAACGCUGGCGGCGUGCUUAACACAUGCAAGUCGAACGGAAAGGCCCUGCUUGCCGGGUACUCGAGUGGCGAACGGGUGAGUAACACGUGGGUGAUCUGCCCUGCACUUCGGGAUAAGCCUGGGAAACUGGGUCUAAUACCGGAUAGGAGCCAUUUUUAGUGUGAUGGUUGGAAAGUUUUUUCGGUGUAGGAUGAGCUCGCGGCCUAUCAGCUUGUUGGUGGGGUAAUGGCCUACCAAGGCGGCGACGGGUAGCCGGCCUGAGAGGGUGGACGGCCACAUUGGGACUGAGAUACGGCCCAGACUCCUACGGGAGGCAGCAGUGGGGAAUAUUGCACAAUGGGCGCAAGCCUGAUGCAGCGACGCCGCGUGGGGGAUGACGGCCUUCGGGUUGUAAACGCCCUUCGCUAGGGACGAAGCUUUUUGUGACGGUACCUAGAUAAGAAGCACCGGCUAACUACGUG